Molecule: ribosomal RNA, 407 nt
Filed under: uncultured bacterium
Lineage: Bacteria
Description: partial 16S ribosomal RNA
Rfam family: Bacterial small subunit ribosomal RNA
Source: RNAcentral
GACGAACGCUGGCGGCGUGCCUAAUACAUGCAAGUAGGACGCAGUUGCGAACGGGUGAGUAACGCGUAGGUAACUACCUAUUAGAGGGGGAUAACUAUUGGAAACGAUAGCUAAUACCGCCUACUCGUAGAUGGACCUGCGUUGUAUUAGCUAGUAGGUCGGGUAAUGGCCUACCUAGGCAACGAUACAUAGCCGACCGUGGAGGGGGAUCGGCCACACUGGGAAGGAGAAACGGCCCAGACUCCUACGGGAGGCAGCAGUAGGGAAUCUUCGGCAAUGGGGGGAACCCUGACCGAGCAAAGCCGCGUGAGGGAAGAAGGUUUUCGGAUCGUAAAGCUCUGUUGUGAAGGAAGCGGUACUUAACCAGAAAGGGACGGCUAACGACGUGCCAGCAGCCGCGGUAAUUC